GAGUAUACAGCGUGCCGAUACAUGCAGUCGAACGAACUUCCGUUAAUUGAUUAUGACGUACUUGUACUGAUUGAGAUUUUAACACGAAGUGAGUGGCGAACGGGUGAGUAACACGUGGGUAACCUGCCCAGAAGUAGGGGAUAACACCUGGAAACAGAUGCUAAUACCGUAUAACAGAGAAAACCGCAUGGUUUUCUUUUAAAAGAUGGCUCUGCUAUCACUUCUGGAUGGACCCGCGGCGUAUUAGCUAGUUGGUGAGGUAAAGGCUCACCAAGGCAGUGAUACGUAGCCGACCUGAGAGGGUAAUCGGCCACAUUGGGACUGAGACACGGCCCAGACUCCUACGGGAGGCAGCAGUAGGGAAUCUUCCACAAUGGACGCAAGUCUGAUGGAGCAACGCCGCGUGAGUGAAGAAGGGUUUCGGCUCGUAAAGCUCUGUUGUUAAAGAAGAACGUGGGUAAGAGUAACUGUUUACCCAGUGACGGUAUUUAACCAGAAAGCCACGGCUAACUACGUGCCAGCAGCCGCGGUAAUACGUAGGUGGCAAGCGUUAUCCGGAUUUAUUGGGCGUAAAGCGAGCGCAGGCGGUCUUUUAAGUCUAAUGUGAAAGCCUUCGGCUCAACCGAAGAAGUGCAUUGGAAACUGGGAGACUUGAGUGCAGAAGAGGACAGUGGAACUCCAUGUGUAGCGGUGAAAUGCGUAGAUAUAUGGAAGAACACCAGUGGCGAAGGCGGCUGUCUGGUCUGCAACUGACGCUGAGGCUCGAAAGCAUGGGUAGCGAACAGGAUUAGAUACCCUGGUAGUCCAUGCCGUAAACGAUGAUUACUAAGUGUUGGAGGGUUUCCGCCCUUCAGUGCUGCAGCUAACGCAUUAAGUAAUCCGCCUGGGGAGUACGACCGCAAGGUUGAAACUCAAAGAAUUGACGGGGGCCCGCACAAGCGGUGGAGCAUGUGGUUUAAUUCGAAGCUACGCGAAGAACCUUACCAGGUCUUGACAUCUUCUGACAGUCUAAGAGAUCAGAUGUUCCUUCGGGGACAGUAUUGACCAGAUGAUGCAUGAUUGACGUCAGCUCGUGUCGUGAGCAU
Molecule: ribosomal RNA, 1085 nt
Filed under: Pediococcus pentosaceus
Lineage: Bacteria; Bacillati; Bacillota; Bacilli; Lactobacillales; Lactobacillaceae
Description: bacterial SSU rRNA
Rfam family: Bacterial small subunit ribosomal RNA
Source: RNAcentral